AGAAAAGUAACCGCCGCCCCGCGCAGGGGCGACGCUAAUAGACCGACACGAUCACAGGUAUUUCACGCCAACGCCAGCGCCACCAGCAAGUCAGCCCGACAAAACCGCUUCCGAUAGAACCCGUC
RNAcentral lists this small RNA (125 nucleotides) under Burkholderia vietnamiensis. RNAcentral describes it as "Bp1_684". It matches the Rfam family "Burkholderia sRNA Bp1_Cand684_SIPHT". The record is from RNAcentral. Lineage: Bacteria; Pseudomonadati; Pseudomonadota; Betaproteobacteria; Burkholderiales; Burkholderiaceae.